GUCGAGCCUGCCCACUGAUAAAUUGAAGGGCCGCGGUAUUUUGACCGUGCAAAGGUAGCAAAAUCAUUAGUCUUUUAAUUGAGGGCUUGUAUGAAUGGUUUGACGAGAUGUUAGCUGUCUCAUUAUAAUAAAUAUAAUUUAACUUUUGAGUGAAAAGGCUUAAAUAUAAUUGGAGGACGAGAAGACCCUAUAGAGCUUUAUAUAUUUAUAUAAUAAUUUUAUAUUUAGUAGUUUUGAUUGUUGUUAUAAAAUAUAUUGUGUUGGGGUGACAUAAAGAUAAAAUUAACUCUUUGUAUAUUUAACAUUAAUUUAUGAAUUAUUGAUCCAGUAUUAUUGAUUAAAAGAAAAAGUUACCUUAGGGAUAACAGCGUAAUUUUUUUUGAGAGUUCUUAUCAAUAAAAAAGAUUGCGACCUCGAUGUUGGAUUAAGGAAAAUUAUUAGGUGAAGUAGUUUAAUUAAUAGGUCUGUUCGACCUUUAAAUCCUUACGUGAUCUGAGUUCAGACCGGA
This 508-nucleotide ribosomal RNA is filed under the name Aerotegmina kilimandjarica. Its description in RNAcentral is "partial large subunit ribosomal RNA". It matches the Rfam family "Bacterial large subunit ribosomal RNA", at positions 1852 to 2620 of the family's 2925-position model. The record is from RNAcentral. Lineage: Eukaryota; Metazoa; Arthropoda; Insecta; Orthoptera; Tettigoniidae.